AACGAAUGCUGGCGGCAGGCCUAACACAUGCAAGUCGAACGCCGUAGCAAUACGGAGUGGCAGACGGGUGAGUAACGCGUGGGAACAUACCCCUCGGUUCGGAAUAACUCAGGGAAACUUGAGCUAAUACCGGAUACGUCCAAGGUUUUAAUCGACCUUGGAGAAAGAUUUAUCGCCGGAGGAUUGGCCCGCGUCUGAUUAGCUUGUUGGUGAGGUAAUGGCUCACCAAGGCGACGAUCAGUAGCUGGUCUGAGAGGAUGAUCAGCCACAUUGGGACUGAGACACGGCCCAAACUCCUACGGGAGGCAGCAGUGGGGAAUAUUGGACAAUGGGCGUAAGCCUGAUCCAGCCAUGCCGCGUGAGUGAGGAAGGCC
RNAcentral lists this ribosomal RNA (374 nucleotides) under uncultured bacterium. Its description in RNAcentral is "bacterial SSU rRNA". It matches the Rfam family "Bacterial small subunit ribosomal RNA", at positions 29 to 416 of the family's 1533-position model. The record is from RNAcentral.